Molecule: ribosomal RNA, 479 nt
Filed under: uncultured anaerobic ammonium-oxidizing bacterium
Lineage: Bacteria
Description: bacterial SSU rRNA
Rfam family: Bacterial small subunit ribosomal RNA
Source: RNAcentral
UUUCGCAAUGCCCGAAAGGGUGACGAAGCGACACCGCGUGGGUGAGGAAGGCCUUCGGGUUGUAAAGCCCUGUCAGGAGUUAAGAAAUGUAAGUGCGCUAAUACCGCAUUUAUUUGACGAAGGCUCCAAAGGAAGUCACGGCUAACUCUGUGCCAGCAGCCGCGGUAAUACAGAGGUGGCAAGCGUUGUUCGGAAUUAUUGGGCGUAAAGAGCACGUAGGUGGGUUUGUAAGUCAGAUGUGAAAGCCUCCUGUUCAACGGGAGAAUUGCAUCUGAAACCACAGAUCUUGAGUGUAGGAGGGGAGAAUGGAACUUCUGGUGGAGCGGUGAAAUGCGUAGAUAUCAGAAGGAACGCCGGCGGCGAAAGCGAUUCUCUGGCCUAUUACUGACACUCAGUGUGCGAAAGCUAGGGUAGCAAACGGGAUUAGAUACCCCGGUAGUCCUAGCCGUAAACGAUGGGCACUAAGUAGAGGGGUUUUA